Rhododendron vialii is the source of this 486-nucleotide long non-coding RNA. RefSeq lists it as uncharacterized. The record is from RefSeq and is a predicted model, not a curated record. Lineage: Eukaryota; Viridiplantae; Streptophyta; Magnoliopsida; Ericales; Ericaceae. The transcript is spliced from 3 exons.
AAAAAAGAAGGGAGCAGGAGAUUUUUUUCUCUUUUCCUUUCCUUUCUUUUCUUCUUCUCCGGUGUCUCUCUCGGCUCUCACCCCUCUCACCUUCUCUCUUCGAUUUCAUCUACUAUGAAUGAGAUUUUGGAAAAAUCCCAAGUACUAAAGUUGUUCUUUGCGACGAGAGCUUUCUAUCCAUCCAAGAAAAUUCAAGAUCGGAGUGCUUAGAAGUUUCCUCCAUGUUCGGACUUGCUUCUAACCUUCGAGGAAGUUCGAGUCGUCACGUGGAUCGAGGAAGCGACGCGUAGUGUGGUAGAGUGUUUACUUUUGAGAUGUGUUGUAUAUUUGGAAAAGGAAGUUAUGCUUCAUGGUCACUUAGCUUUGUGUAUGAUUUGUUUAGUUUGUAAAUUUGUAGGUAAGCACAGCUUUGAGAGGUUUAUCCUUUUGGUUUGUAAACCUAUGUAAGAUUUUGGUUUGUUAUCAAUAAAAGUUAACUUUUGCUUC